AAGGAGUCUAACAUAUCUGCGAGUAUGUUGGUGUCAAAACCGAGAGCGCAAUGAAAGUGAACGUAGGAGCCACGCGCAAGCUGCAGCUUCGACCGAUCUGGAUCUUUAGUGAUGGAUUUGAGUAAGAGCAUAUCUGUUGGGACCCGAAAGAUGGUGAACUAUGCCUGAGUAGGGUGAAGCCAGAGGAAACUCUGGUGGAGGCUCGUAGCGAUUCUGACGUGCAAAUCGAUCGUCAAAUUUGGGUAUAGGGGCGAAAGACUAAUCGAACCAUCUAGUAGCUGGUUCCUGC
RNAcentral lists this unclassified non-coding RNA (289 nucleotides) under uncultured fungus. RNAcentral's name for it is "partial contains 5.8S rRNA, ITS2 and 28S rRNA". It matches the Rfam family "Eukaryotic large subunit ribosomal RNA", at positions 668 to 961 of the family's 3401-position model. The record is from RNAcentral. Lineage: Eukaryota; Fungi.